GCGGCGUGCUUAACACAUGCAAGUCGAACGGAAAGGCCCUGCUUUUGUGGGGUGCUCGAGUGGCGAACGGGUGAGUAACACGUGAGUAACCUGCCCUUGACUUUGGGAUAACUUCAGGAAACUGGGGCUAAUACCGGAUAGGAGCUCCUGCUGCAUGGUGGGGGUUGGAAAGUUUCGGCGGUUGGGGAUGGACUCGCGGCUUAUCAGCUUGUUGGUGGGGUAGUGGCUUACCAAGGCUUUGACGGGUAGCCGGCCUGAGAGGGUGACCGGCCACAUUGGGACUGAGAUACGGCCCAGACUCCUACGGGAGGCAGCAGUGGGGAAUAUUGCACAAUGGGCGGAAGCCUGAUGCAGCAACGCCGCGUGCGGGAUGACGGCCUUCGGGUUGUAAACCGCUUUCGCCUGUGACGAAGCGUGAGUGACGGUAAUGGGUAAAGAAGCACCGGCUAACUACGUGCCAGCAGCCGCGGUGAUACGUAGGGUGCGAGCGUUGUCCGGAUUUAUUGGGCGUAAAGGGCUCGUAGGUGGUUGAUCGCGUCGGAAGUGUAAUCUUGGGGCUUAACCCUGAGCGUGCUUUCGAUACGGGUUGACUUGAGGAAGGUAGGGGAGAAUGGAAUUCCUGGUGGAGCGGUGGAAUGCGCAGAUAUCAGGAGGAACACCAGUGGCGAAGGCGGUUCUCUGGGCCUUUCCUGACGCUGAGGAGCGAAAGCGUGGGGAGCGAACAGGCUUAGAUACCCUGGUAGUCCACGCUGUAAACGGUGGGUACUAGGUGUGGGGUCCAUUCCACGGGUUCCGUGCCGUAGCUAACGCUUUAAGUACCCCGCCUGGGGAGUACGGCCGCAAGGCUAAAACUCAAAGGAAUUGACGGGGCCCCGCACAAGCGGCGGAGCAUGCGGAUUAAUUCGAUGCAACGCGUAGAACCUUACCUGGGUUUGACAUGGAUCGGGAGUGCUCAGAGAUGGGUGUGCCUCUUUUGGGGUCGGUUCACAGGUGGUGCAUGGCUGUCGUCAGCUCGUGUCGUGAGAUGUUGGGUUAAGUCCCGCAACGAGCGCAACCCUUGUUCACUGUUGCCAGCACGUUAUGGUGGGGACUCAGUGGAGACCGCCGGGGUCAACUCGGAGGAAGGUGGGGAUGACGUCAAGUCAUCAUGCCCCUUAUGUCCAGGGCUUCACGCAUGCUACAAUGGCUGGUACAGAGAGUGGCGAGCCUGUGAGGGUGAGCGAAUCUCGGAAAGCCGGUCUCAGUUCGGAUUGGGGUCUGCAACUCGACCUCAUGAAGUCGGAGUCGCUAGUAAUCGCAGAUCAGCAACGCUGCGGUGAAUACGUUCCCGGGGCUUGUACACACCGCCCGUCAAGUCAUGAAAGUUGGUAACACCCGAAGCCGGUGGCCUAACCGUUGUGGGGGAGCCGUCGAAGGUGGGACUGGUGAUUAGGACU
This 1436-nucleotide ribosomal RNA is filed under the name uncultured organism. Its description in RNAcentral is "partial small subunit ribosomal RNA". It matches the Rfam family "Bacterial small subunit ribosomal RNA". The record is from RNAcentral.